GGAAGGAUCAUUAACGAAAUGGGAUCUCUCAAACGAGAGGUCCGACUCACCCACACCCGUGCACUCAGCGAACGUCUGUAGAAGGCUCCCUCUCAAAGGGGGGUCGAGACGUUCACUCCCUUUACAUCUCAAACGCCUGUUAAACGAGCAUGUCUAUCGAGCUCUACGGAGCGCAAACAAUACAACUUUCAACAACGGAUCUCUUGGCUUUCGCAUCGAUGAAGAACGCCGCGAAAGUGCGAAACGUAAUGUGAAUUGCAGAAUUCAGUGAAUCAUCGAAUCUUUGAACGCACCUUGCGCUCCUUGGUAUUCCGAGGAGCAUGCCUGUUUGAGUGUCGUGAAGUCUCUCGACCCCGUGGCCUUUACUGUGCCGGGGGUCGGAUUUGGACGCUGCCGUCUCUCGAAGACGGCUCGUCUCGAAAUGCAUCGGCCGUCCCCAUCGCGCAGACUACGGUGUGAUAAGUCACGUUCGCCGGCGUCCGUGUAAGGGGGUGGCUCACAGUCGUCUCCGGACAAACCGACCUUUAACGUCUGACCUCAAAUCAGGUAGGACUACCCGCUGAACUUAAGCAUAUCAAUAAGCGGAAGAAAAGAAACUAACAAGGAUUCCCCUAGUAACGGCGAGUGAAGCGGGAAGAGCUCAAAUUUGUAAUCUGGCGGUCUCAGGCCGUCCGAGUUGUAGUCUGGAGAAGCGUUUUCCGUGCCGGACCGUGUACAAGUCCCUUGGAACAGGGCGUCGUAGAGGGUGAGAAUCCCGUCUCUGACACGGACCGCCGGUGCCAUGUGAUGCGCUCUCGAAGAGUCGAGUUGUUUGGGAAUGCAGCUCAAAAUGGGUGGUAAAUUCCAUCUAAAGCUAAAUAUUGGCGAAAGACCGAUAGCGAACAAGUACCGUGAGGGAAAGAUGAAAAGCACUUUGGAAAGAGAGUUAAACAGUACGUGAAAUUGUUGAAAGGGAAACGCUUGAAGUCAGUCGCGUCUUCCGAGACUCAACCGGGUGUCUUCACCCGGCGCACUUCUCGGUGUGACGGGCCAGCAUCGAUUUCGACCGUCGGAGAAAGGCUCGGGGAACGUGGCACCUCCGGGUGUGUUAUAGCCCCCUGUCGUAUGCGAGGGUCGGGAUCGAGGACCGCAGCACGCCCUUCACCGGGCCGGGGUUCGCCCACGUAACGUGCUUAGGAUGCUGGCGUAAUGGCUUUAAGCGACCCGUCUUGAAACACGGACCAAGGAGUCUAACAUGCCUGCGAGUGUUUGGGUGGCAAACCCGAGCGCGUAAUGAAAGUGAAAUGGGUCGAGACCUCCGUCGUGGGGGGCACCGACGCCCGGACCAGACCUUUUGUGACGGUUCCGAGGUAGAGCAUGUAUGUUGGGACCCGAAAGAUGGUGAACUAUGCUUGAGUAGGGUGAAGCCAGAGGAAACUCUGGUGGAGGCUCGUAGCGAUUCUGACGUGCAAAUCGAUCGUCGAACUUGGGUAUAGGGGCGAAAGACUAAUCGAACCAUCUAGUAGCUGGUUCCUGCCGAAGUUUCCCUCAGGAUAGCAGAGACUCGUAUCAGAUUUAUGUGGUAAAGCGAAUGAUUAGGGGCCUUGGGGUCGAAACGACCUUAACCCAUUCUCAAACUUUAAAUAUGUA
This 1629-nucleotide ribosomal RNA is filed under the name uncultured fungus. RNAcentral's name for it is "eukaryotic LSU rRNA". The stretch from base 533 to 1629 matches the Rfam family "Eukaryotic large subunit ribosomal RNA", at positions 1 to 1075 of the family's 3401-position model. Lineage: Eukaryota; Fungi. The record is from RNAcentral.